RNAcentral lists this ribosomal RNA (641 nucleotides) under Escherichia coli. Its description in RNAcentral is "partial 23S ribosomal RNA". It matches the Rfam family "Bacterial large subunit ribosomal RNA", at positions 614 to 1254 of the family's 2925-position model. The record is from RNAcentral. Lineage: Bacteria; Pseudomonadati; Pseudomonadota; Gammaproteobacteria; Enterobacterales; Enterobacteriaceae.
AAUGGGUCAGCGACUUAUAUUCUGUAGCAAGGUUAACCGAAUAGGGGAGCCGAAGGGAAACCGAGUCUUAACUGGGCGUUAAGUUGCAGGGUAUAGACCCGAAACCCGGUGAUCUAGCCAUGGGCAGGUUGAAGGUUGGGUAACACUAACUGGAGGACCGAACCGACUAAUGUUGAAAAAUUAGCGGAUGACUUGUGGCUGGGGGUGAAAGGCCAAUCAAACCGGGAGAUAGCUGGUUCUCCCCGAAAGCUAUUUAGGUAGCGCCUCGUGAAUUCAUCUCCGGGGGUAGAGCACUGUUUCGGCAAGGGGGUCAUCCCGACUUACCAACCCGAUGCAAACUGCGAAUACCGGAGAAUGUUAUCACGGGAGACACACGGCGGGUGCUAACGUCCGUCGUGAAGAGGGAAACAACCCAGACCGCCAGCUAAGGUCCCAAAGUCAUGGUUAAGUGGGAAACGAUGUGGGAAGGCCCAGACAGCCAGGAUGUUGGCUUAGAAGCAGCCAUCAUUUAAAGAAAGCGUAAUAGCUCACUGGUCGAGUCGGCCUGCGCGGAAGAUGUAACGGGGCUAAACCAUGCACCGAAGCUGCGGCAGCGACGCUGAUGCGUUGUUGGGUAGGGGAGCGUUCUGUAAGCCUGUGAA